GUCGUAACAAGGUUCCGUAGGUGAACCUGCGGAAGGAUCAUUAAUGAAUAAACUCGGUGGAUUGUUGCUGGCUCUUAGGAGCAUGUGCACAUCUGCCAUUGUUUCAUUCUUUCUCCACCUGUGCACCUUUUGUAGGCUUGGAUAACUCUCAAGGACUGAAUUACAUUCAUGAUUCACUUCUUGGAUUUGGGGAUUGGUUUCAAGAAAACCUCUCCUUUGCAUUUCCAGUCUAUGUUUUAUAUAUCUACACCCCAUUAGUAUGUGUUUGAAUGUUUAUUAUUUGGCCUUUCUUUUGAUAGGCUUUAAAACUUAUACAACUUUCAACAACGGAUCUCUUGGCUCUCGCAUCGAUGAAGAACGCAGCGAAAUGCGAUAAGUAAUGUGAAUUGCAGAAUUCAGUGAAUCAUCGAAUCUUUGAACGCACCUUGCGCUCCUUGGUAUUCCGAGGAGCAUGCCUGUUUGAGUGUCAUUAAAUUCUCAAUCCCAGAAAGGGUUUAUUCUCAGCUGGGCUUGGAUAUGGGGGUUUUGCCGGCUUUGUAAAGAGUCAGCUCUCCUGAAAAACAUUAGCAAGACUCUUAUUGCAACCUUCUAUUUGGUGUGAUAAUUAUCUACAUCAUAGAUUGUGUGCAUGUCUGGCUUCUAACAGUCCAUUGAUUUGGACAAAAC
This 666-nucleotide ribosomal RNA is filed under the name Melanoleuca turrita. RNAcentral's name for it is "eukaryotic LSU rRNA". The stretch from base 316 to 469 matches the Rfam family "5.8S ribosomal RNA". Lineage: Eukaryota; Fungi; Basidiomycota; Agaricomycetes; Agaricales; Pluteaceae. The record is from RNAcentral.